This 669-nucleotide long non-coding RNA is filed under the name Sorghum bicolor (sorghum). Its description in RNAcentral is "long non-coding RNA (SBIC_LNC014580)". Lineage: Eukaryota; Viridiplantae; Streptophyta; Magnoliopsida; Poales; Poaceae. The record is from RNAcentral.
UAUUCAACUCAAUAUAAUGACUGCUAAAAAUGAAACCAUUAACCAAAGUGGCAGGUCCAAUAACAUUCUAGAUGGAAAUAAAAUAACACAUUCCUAAAGUGCAUUACAUAAUAACACAUUGCAAAGUCCAAUAGUAAACAAUAUUAUUCAUAAACCAAACAUAGAACUAGCAGGUAAUGUGACUACUGAGUGCAACGAGGCCACUUUCCCUUCCUUUGGGCAUCAGGAUUCUUCUCCAUCACUUCCUUCGCUUUGUGCACACGCUCAAGCUUCAUCUCCCUCUCCUCCCUGUAUGCAGCAACAUGCCUCCUUUCCUACUCUUCCUUGUGCUCCUUCUGUAGAGCCUCCUCUCUGCGUCUCUUCUCCAAUAUCUUCGCACGCUCCGCAUCCCACUUCUUCUAGACUUGUAGAAGCCACUUGUUUGACACCUUGAUCUCAUUGUCAAUCCACUGCUCAAAAUCACACAAUGGUGGAGGGGUCGGCAACAAAAAAAGUUGUUACAAAAAAAAAGCAUGCUCCAUAUAAUAUAAUAUGCGUAAUGCAGAACAAAAAAAAUCUCACAAUAAAUUUACUACGACAUUGUUGCAGUGUAGGCUCCCAUGCAAAAUUGAAACACAUCCAAUAUCUCUGCUUAUAGGUUUCCUCAUCUAUAGAAAUUUCUACCAUGCA